Cygnus olor (mute swan) is the source of this 1996-nucleotide long non-coding RNA. RefSeq lists it as uncharacterized. Lineage: Eukaryota; Metazoa; Chordata; Aves; Anseriformes; Anatidae. The transcript is spliced from 3 exons. The record is from RefSeq and is a predicted model, not a curated record.
UGCUCCGCAGCAUUCCUUUGAGGCAGUUCCCCUUUCCUGCUGCUCCAGCUGCUGCAAUGCUGAUAUGAAGUGCACAUGAAAGUCUGAGAGAGUGUGUGCUGCUGCUCUUGCACAUUUGGAAACCGGAUUCAUUGCAAAGCUCAGAGACUCAUGGAGAAAGCACUGCAGAACUUCACCUGAGAUAGCACAGUUCUACUCCAGCUCCAUCCUCACCAGCGGACCUGUAAGCCUCUUCUCCACAGCCCCGACUGCUGCAUGUGAAAGACCCAGAAGAAACCUCUCCAGCUUUCACAGUUGAGCUUGCUCUGAACAGGUAAAUCUGGAAAUAAACAUUUUUGCUUAUCAGCUGGGUGGAUCUGUGAGGUGAUCAGAAAGACAAAUUUCCACAGUGCCCGCCAAGGUAAUUUUUCAAAGUACAACUGACUUUUAAAUAUCAGUGCAGAGCAGCCAGGACAUUUGGAGAUCUUACCCAAAGACCUUCAAGGAACAGGCCAUGUUGUAUCUCUUUGGUCUCCUUGGGCUACACAAAUACUUCAACUCGCUGAAAGGCACAGCUCCUUACAACAAUGCAACAGACGAAAUGCACGGUGCUUUUACAGACACAUAUUUACUUUGGGGCCAAGGCGUCCAUAAUUACAGAGUGCUUUGCAACUCAGAGGACCCUAAAUAUCUCUGCAGGCCAAUUUGCCCUGUGGCAGCCUGUGGGCAUCCUCCUGUACUUCCAAGCUGAGCAGUAGCUAGCUAGAUCUUCUCAUGUGGGCCUUCCCCUGCUUCAUCAUCCGCCCUCCUGAGCCAUCCCCUCACUUUUGUACCAAGCCUGCACCGGGCAGUGCCAGCACUGGGCUCAAGCACAGCCAUGCCAUUUAGCUGCUGCUAGACUUCCUGGCAUGAUUUCGGCCCAGACUACAGUCUGUCUCAUUUUGGGAGCUAUGAACAAUACAGGAACAGUUCCGCGAGAGGCAGGAUGGACAAGGAACAUUUAGCCACAGCACUUGCCUUUAGGGCUAAGACCCCAGCUAUUUUAUUAAUGAACAUACUUGCGCUUUUGAGAGCAGGGCACCCCUUCCGCAGCCAUGCUGCACACUGGACAGGACAGGGAAGGAAGAAGUCAGCCAGGAGCCUUCUUCCAAGGAGCCUUCAAGCUGGGACUCAACUCUACUGGACCUCAGUUUGAGGAGCUGCAUACCUCCCUGGUGGAGCUGGUGGACCUGGCUGUGUGCGUGCAUCCCUGUGCCUUGAUGUUCACAGCUCCCCAAGACACCGCUGAAACUCGUGAUCAGGGAUAAUGGGAGCUGGUGAAUCAACACGUGCCUUGAAGUGCUCUCAUUUGGUUCUCUGGGAUAACACACUCGGUGUUCUGGUUUAGCAGUGUUUGCACAUACCCCGACCCACUUGUUUACAUCAUACUUUGUAAUUACCUCCGCUGAGCUGUUUCGUUGUUUCUGGGGGAGACGUAGUCUGUGCUUUGCCGACACAGUUUGCUUUAUCUAAGGUCUUUUGAACACUUCCUUUUGGGAUUUUAUUUCACCGGCUCUUUAGCAAAUGCUGCAGCUAUUUUCUCAUCUAGCGGUGGCCAGAACUUUUGUCUGGGUGAAGAAUAUGGGGACAGCCGACUUCCUGCCAUUAAGGAAAUCUCUCGUUGUACAACCGAGGUUGAGACAGAUUAAUUUGAUCCACACUUGCUACAAAACAGCUUGGUUCUUUGGCUGUGCUAAUGCUCUACUUAGUCUGAAAAAAGCGAGGGGACAGAGCUUUAAACAACCUUCAGCUGUAGCCCAAGCACAACAUCGCAUCACUUCACUGAAAAUGCCACGGGAGGGAUAAACUGACGUGCCUUGGAGCUUGGAUGUGCCCCAUCACGUUCCUCUAGCGGGGUGUGUGUGCAGGCUGCACCCCUCGGGCAGGAUCUGGGUGGUGGAAGGGGACCUAGGCAGGAAUGAGAUGGGCUCUGUUCAAAUCUGACUCUUGGCCAGGGGAUGGGAGGAAGAGGGGAGCU